Molecule: ribosomal RNA, 293 nt
Filed under: uncultured bacterium
Lineage: Bacteria
Description: partial 16S ribosomal RNA
Rfam family: Bacterial small subunit ribosomal RNA
Source: RNAcentral
GUGCCAGCAGCCGCGGUAACACGUAGGCACCAAGCGUUGUCCGGAUUUAUUGGGCGUAAAGAGCUCGUAGGCGGUUCGGUAAGUCAGGUGUGAAACCUUUGGGCUCAACCCAAAGCCUGCAUCUGAUACUGCUGUGACUAGAGUUCGGUAGGGGAGCGGGGAAUUCCUAGUGUAGCGGUGAAAUGCGCAGAUAUUAGGAGGAACACCGGUGGCGAAGGCGCCGCUCUGGGCCGAAACUGACGCUGAGGAGCGAAAGCGUGGGUAGCAAACAGGAUUAGAAACCCCAGUAGUCC